UGAACGCUGGCGGUAGGCUUAACACAUGCAAGUCGUGCGAGAAAGUAUCUUCGGAUAUGAGUAGAGCGGCGGACGGGUGAGUAACGCGUAGGAAUCUACCUAGUAGAAGGGGAUAGCCCGAGGAAACUCGGAUUAAUACCGUAUACCUCCUUUGGGAGAAAGAAGGCCUCUCUUUGAAGCUUUCGCUACUAGAUGAGCCUGCGUAAGAUUAGCUUGUUGGUGAGGUAAAGGCUCACCAAGGCUACGAUCUUUAGCGGGUCUGAGAGGACGAUCCGCCACAUUGGGACUGAGACACGGCCCAGACUCCUACGGGAGGCAGCAGUGGGGAAUAUUGGACAAUGGGCGCAAGCCUGAUCCAGCCAUACCGCGUGUGUGAAGAAGGCCCUAGGGUUGUAAAGCACUUUAAGUUGGGAAGAAAAGUUAUUGGCUAAUACCCAAUGACCGUGACAUUACCAUCAGAAUAAGGACCGGCUAAUUCCGUGCCAGCAGCCGCGGUAAUACGGAAGGUCCAAGCGUUAAUCGGAAUUACUGGGCGUAAAGCGCGCGUAGGUGGUUUAUUAAGUUGGGUGUGAAAUCCCCGGGCUCAACCUGGGAACUGCAUCCAAAACUGAUUCACUAGAGUACGAUAGAGGGAGGUAGAAUUCACAGUGUAGCGGUGGAAUGCGUAGAUAUUGUGAAGAAUACCAAUGGCGAAGGCAGCCUCCUGGAUCUGUACUGACACUGAGGUGCGAAAGCGUGGGUAGCGAACAGGAUUAGAUACCCUGGUAGUC
This 770-nucleotide ribosomal RNA is filed under the name uncultured bacterium. Its description in RNAcentral is "bacterial SSU rRNA". It matches the Rfam family "Bacterial small subunit ribosomal RNA", at positions 30 to 795 of the family's 1533-position model. The record is from RNAcentral.